Molecule: ribosomal RNA, 305 nt
Filed under: uncultured bacterium
Lineage: Bacteria
Description: bacterial SSU rRNA
Rfam family: Bacterial small subunit ribosomal RNA
Source: RNAcentral
UUCCUACGGGGCGCAGCAGUGGGGAAUAUUGGGCAAUGGGCGCAAGCCUGACCCAGCAACGCCGCGUGAAGGAAGAAGGCCCUCGGGUUGUAAACUUCUUUUGUCAGGGACGAAGCAAGUGACGGUACCUGACGAAUAAGCCACGGCUAACUACGUGCCAGCAGCCGCGGUAAUACGUAGGUGGCAAGCGUUAUCCGGAUUUACUGGGUGUAAAGGGCGUGUAGGCGGGGAAGCAAGUCAGAUGUGAAACUCCAGGGCUCAACCCGGGAACUGCAUUUGAAACUGUUUUUCUUGAGUGAUGGAGG